Panicum hallii is the source of this 332-nucleotide long non-coding RNA. RefSeq lists it as uncharacterized. The record is from RefSeq and is a predicted model, not a curated record. The transcript has 4 exons. Lineage: Eukaryota; Viridiplantae; Streptophyta; Magnoliopsida; Poales; Poaceae.
GACAGGUUUCUCCUAGCAACAGCUUUGAUUUGCUGUCUUCUUCCCCUGGUUCCUCCGCCUUCCCAGACCAGAACGUCGAGAUUUGCAAGCUACCCAGGCAAUGGCGUCAGCUGAUCUGAGAGGGUGAGGGUUAAAUCGCAGCAGAAGGAUUUAAGCCUUUUAAGGUUCAGCUGAGCAGCGCAGAAAAAGAUGAUCCCUCACUGAAUCAGAUCACUCCAACCAAGGAAACAGAGAUUGCUUUAGUACCAAUAGAGCAAAGUACAAAGUCCGUCAAUGCUCCAGAUAUUGCAACGUCAACAAAUACACCACAUAAGAAUGAUGAUACCAUUUUU